AUUGAACGCUGGCGGCAUGCCUAACACAUGCAAGUCGAACGGAAACACGAAGAACCUUGCUUCUUUGCUGUCGAGGGGCGGACGGGAGUGAAACGUCUAUGAAACUGCCUUAUGGAUGGGGAAACCUCCUGGAAACGGUACCAAUAACCGCUUAUCGUCUCAACACCAAAGAGCAGGACCGUCAGGCCUCUUUCCUGCCGAUUUUCCCUGAUUCCAUGCGGUAUUAGCUAGUAGGUCAGGUAACGGCUCACCUAGGCGACGAUGCCUAUCCGAGCUGAGAGGAUGACCAGCCACACUGGAACUGAGACACGGUCCAGACUCCUACGGGAGGCAGCAGUGGGGAAUAUUGCACAAUGGGCGCAAGCCUGAUGCAGCCAUGCCGCGUGUGUGAAGAAGGCCUUCGGGUUGUAAAGUACUUUCAGCGGGGAAGAAGGGAGUUAAGUUAAUACCUUCGCUCAUUGACGUUACCCGCAGAAGAAGCACCGGCUAACUCCGUG
Molecule: ribosomal RNA, 497 nt
Filed under: uncultured bacterium
Lineage: Bacteria
Description: partial 16S ribosomal RNA
Rfam family: Bacterial small subunit ribosomal RNA
Source: RNAcentral